This 962-nucleotide ribosomal RNA is filed under the name Viridibacillus arenosi. RNAcentral's name for it is "bacterial SSU rRNA". It matches the Rfam family "Bacterial small subunit ribosomal RNA", at positions 61 to 1031 of the family's 1533-position model. Lineage: Bacteria; Bacillati; Bacillota; Bacilli; Caryophanales; Caryophanaceae. The record is from RNAcentral.
GUCGAGGGGUAUAGCACUUCGGUGCUAGAGACCGGCGCACGGGUGCGUAACGCGUAUGCAAUCUACCUUUUACAGGGGGAUAGCCCAGAGAAAUUUGGAUUAAUACCCCAUAGUAUAUAUGAGUUGGCAUCAACACAUUAUUAAAGUCACAACGGUAAAAGAUGAGCAUGCGUCCCAUUAGCUAGAUGGUAAGGUAACGGCUUACCAUGGCUACGAUGGGUAGGGGUCCUGAGAGGGAGAUCCCCCACACUGGUACUGAGACACGGACCAGACUCCUACGGGAGGCAGCAGUGAGGAAUAUUGGACAAUGGGCGCAAGCCUGAUCCAGCCAUGCCGCGUGCAGGAUGACGGUCCUAUGGAUUGUAAACUGCUUUUAUACGAGAAGAAACACUGAUUCGUGAAUCAGCUUGACGGUAUCGUAAGAAUAAGGAUCGGCUAACUCCGUGCCAGCAGCCGCGGUAAUACGGAGGAUCCAAGCGUUAUCCGGAAUCAUUGGGUUUAAAGGGUCCGUAGGCGGUCUAGUAAGUCAGUGGUGAAAGCCCAUCGCUCAACGGUGGAACGGCCAUUGAUACUGCUGGACUUGAAUUAUUAGGAAGUAACUAGAAUAUGUAGUGUAGCGGUGAAAUGCUUAGAGAUUACAUGGAAUACCAAUUGCGAAGGCAGGUUACUACUAAUGGAUUGACGCUGAUGGACGAAAGCGUGGGUAGCGAACAGGAUUAGAUACCCUGGUAGUCCACGCCGUAAACGAUGGAUACUAGCUGUUGGGGGCAACUUCAGUGGCUAAGCGAAAGUGAUAAGUAUCCCACCUGGGGAGUACGAACGCAAGUUUGAAACUCAAAGGAAUUGACGGGGGCCCGCACAAGCGGUGGAGCAUGUGGUUUAAUUCGAUGAUACGCGAGGAACCUUACCAAGGCUUAAAUGCAGUUUGACCGAUUUGGAAACAGAUCUUUCGCAAGAAAAUU